RNAcentral lists this transfer RNA (74 nucleotides) under Vitreoscilla sp. C1. RNAcentral's name for it is "tRNA-Leu". It matches the Rfam family "tRNA". Rfam says of the family: Transfer RNA (tRNA) molecules are approximately 80 nucleotides in length. Their secondary structure includes four short double-helical elements and three loops (D, anti-codon, and T loops). Lineage: Bacteria; Pseudomonadati; Pseudomonadota; Betaproteobacteria; Neisseriales; Neisseriaceae. The record is from RNAcentral.
UGCCCAGGUGGCGAAAUUGGUAGACGCAGGGGACUCAAAAUCCCUUGGUCGUGGGUUCGAUUCCCACCGGGCCC